This 2890-nucleotide ribosomal RNA is filed under the name Pseudomonas aeruginosa. Its description in RNAcentral is "23S ribosomal RNA". It matches the Rfam family "Bacterial large subunit ribosomal RNA". Lineage: Bacteria; Pseudomonadati; Pseudomonadota; Gammaproteobacteria; Pseudomonadales; Pseudomonadaceae. The record is from RNAcentral.
GGUCAAGUGAAGAAGCGCAUACGGUGGAUGCCUUGGCAGUCAGAGGCGAUGAAAGACGUGGUAGCCUGCGAAAAGCUUCGGGGAGUCGGCAAACAGACUUUGAUCCGGAGAUCUCUGAAUGGGGGAACCCACCUAGGAUAACCUAGGUAUCUUGUACUGAAUCCAUAGGUGCAAGAGGCGAACCAGGGGAACUGAAACAUCUAAGUACCCUGAGGAAAAGAAAUCAACCGAGAUUCCCUUAGUAGUGGCGAGCGAACGGGGAUUAGCCCUUAAGCUUCAUUGAUUUUAGCGGAACGCUCUGGAAAGUGCGGCCAUAGUGGGUGAUAGCCCCGUACGCGAAAGGAUCUUUGAAGUGAAAUCGAGUAGGACGGAGCACGAGAAACUUUGUCUGAACAUGGGGGGACCAUCCUCCAAGGCUAAAUACUACUGACUGACCGAUAGUGAACCAGUACCGUGAGGGAAAGGCGAAAAGAACCCCGGAGAGGGGAGUGAAAUAGAACCUGAAACCGUAUGCGUACAAGCAGUGGGAGCCUACUUGUUAGGUGACUGCGUACCUUUUGUAUAAUGGGUCAGCGACUUAUAUUCAGUGGCAAGCUUAACCGUAUAGGGUAGGCGUAGCGAAAGCGAGUCUUAAUAGGGCGUUUAGUCGCUGGGUAUAGACCCGAAACCGGGCGAUCUAUCCAUGAGCAGGUUGAAGGUUAGGUAACACUGACUGGAGGACCGAACCCACUCCCGUUGAAAAGGUAGGGGAUGACUUGUGGAUCGGAGUGAAAGGCUAAUCAAGCUCGGAGAUAGCUGGUUCUCCUCGAAAGCUAUUUAGGUAGCGCCUCAUGUAUCACUCUGGGGGGUAGAGCACUGUUUCGGCUAGGGGGUCAUCCCGACUUACCAAACCGAUGCAAACUCCGAAUACCCAGAAGUGCCGAGCAUGGGAGACACACGGCGGGUGCUAACGUCCGUCGUGAAAAGGGAAACAACCCAGACCGCCAGCUAAGGUCCCAAAGUUGUGGUUAAGUGGUAAACGAUGUGGGAAGGCUUAGACAGCUAGGAGGUUGGCUUAGAAGCAGCCACCCUUUAAAGAAAGCGUAAUAGCUCACUAGUCGAGUCGGCCUGCGCGGAAGAUGUAACGGGGCUCAAACCACACACCGAAGCUGCGGGUGUCACGUAAGUGACGCGGUAGAGGAGCGUUCUGUAAGCCUGUGAAGGUGAGUUGAGAAGCUUGCUGGAGGUAUCAGAAGUGCGAAUGCUGACAUGAGUAACGACAAUGGGUGUGAAAAACACCCACGCCGAAAGACCAAGGGUUCCUGCGCAACGUUAAUCGACGCAGGGUUAGUCGGUUCCUAAGGCGAGGCUGAAAAGCGUAGUCGAUGGGAAACAGGUUAAUAUUCCUGUACUUCUGGUUACUGCGAUGGAGGGACGGAGAAGGCUAGGCCAGCUUGGCGUUGGUUGUCCAAGUUUAAGGUGGUAGGCUGAAAUCUUAGGUAAAUCCGGGGUUUCAAGGCCGAGAGCUGAUGACGAGUCGUCUUUUAGAUGACGAAGUGGUUGAUGCCAUGCUUCCAAGAAAAGCUUCUAAGCUUCAGGUAACCAGGAACCGUACCCCAAACCGACACAGGUGGUCGGGUAGAGAAUACCAAGGCGCUUGAGAGAACUCGGGUGAAGGAACUAGGCAAAAUGGCACCGUAACUUCGGGAGAAGGUGCGCCGGCUAGGGUGAAGGAUUUACUCCGUAAGCUCUGGCUGGUCGAAGAUACCAGGCCGCUGCGACUGUUUAUUAAAAACACAGCACUCUGCAAACACGAAAGUGGACGUAUAGGGUGUGACGCCUGCCCGGUGCCGGAAGGUUAAUUGAUGGGGUUAGCGCAAGCGAAGCUCUUGAUCGAAGCCCCGGUAAACGGCGGCCGUAACUAUAACGGUCCUAAGGUAGCGAAAUUCCUUGUCGGGUAAGUUCCGACCUGCACGAAUGGCGUAACGAUGGCGGCGCUGUCUCCACCCGAGACUCAGUGAAAUUGAAAUCGCUGUGAAGAUGCAGUGUAUCCGCGGCUAGACGGAAAGACCCCGUGAACCUUUACUGUAGCUUUGCACUGGACUUUGAGCCUGCUUGUGUAGGAUAGGUGGGAGGCUUUGAAGCGUGGACGCCAGUUCGCGUGGAGCCAUCCUUGAAAUACCACCCUGGCAUGCUUGAGGUUCUAACUCUGGUCCGUAAUCCGGAUCGAGGACAGUGUAUGGUGGGCAGUUUGACUGGGGCGGUCUCCUCCUAAAGAGUAACGGAGGAGUACGAAGGUGCGCUCAGACCGGUCGGAAAUCGGUCGCAGAGUAUAAAGGCAAAAGCGCGCUUGACUGCGAGACAGACACGUCGAGCAGGUACGAAAGUAGGUCUUAGUGAUCCGGUGGUUCUGUAUGGAAGGGCCAUCGCUCAACGGAUAAAAGGUACUCCGGGGAUAACAGGCUGAUACCGCCCAAGAGUUCAUAUCGACGGCGGUGUUUGGCACCUCGAUGUCGGCUCAUCACAUCCUGGGGCUGAAGCCGGUCCCAAGGGUAUGGCUGUUCGCCAUUUAAAGUGGUACGCGAGCUGGGUUUAGAACGUCGUGAGACAGUUCGGUCCCUAUCUGCCGUGGACGUUUGAGAUUUGAGAGGGGCUGCUCCUAGUACGAGAGGACCGGAGUGGACGAACCUCUGGUGUUCCGGUUGUCACGCCAGUGGCAUUGCCGGGUAGCUAUGUUCGGAAAAGAUAACCGCUGAAAGCAUCUAAGCGGGAAACUUGCCUCAAGAUGAGAUCUCACUGGGAACUUGAUUCCCCUGAAGGGCCGUCGAAGACUACGACGUUGAUAGGCUGGGUGUGUAAGCGUUGUGAGGCGUUGAGCUAACCAGUACUAAUUGCCCGUGAGGCUUGACCA